ACAUGCCUACAACAUAGCGUUAAUGUAUCGGAUAUCAUUAUAACUCUGCAGUUAAACAUGCUUAGGUUAGAGUAGUACUGGGAUGGGUGACCAAUCAGGAAGUCAUAGUGUUUUACAUGCC
This is a non-coding RNA of Picea glauca (white spruce), 121 nucleotides long. Lineage: Eukaryota; Viridiplantae; Streptophyta; Pinopsida; Pinales; Pinaceae. The record is from Rfam.